ACCUUUAUAUUAAAAAAAAACCAAAUGUGUGAGCAAGUCCAUAAGCUAUAUCAUAUAUGCAGGGGGGGAGAGGAUUCAUCUAGAGCAUGUCAGAAUCUAUUGAAGGAACUAUCAGAGGGAAUCAGAGAAUGAAGAAGAGACGAGAUUUUUGAUUAGCUGAGCCUCUGAGGGAUUCAAAAGGAAUUGAACUCCUAUUGAAGCAACCCUUUUCAAAAAGAGAUGGCAAUAGGUUAUACUGUAUUAUUUUCUCGCUUGGAUACAGUUUCCCGAUCGGAGAUCCAUGGAUCACAGACGGUAUCUCCCCAUGGCCUUUCGCCUCUGAAAGUGUCCUUCCUUCUCAAUGCCCAUUACCUCUUUCCAAUAGUUUGUAACGUCUACUUGAAUUUCUUUUUAUCAAUGGGCUUCAUCAGAAGUUCAGCCCGACUGUCUUCUUUUCCUUGUGACUUAUCAGUACUAUUUUCAAAACUACAUAAAAUUUCUGUCCUUAAGAAUCACUGAUGCAGACAGGAAUGUUUAACAAGGACAAUGCAACUGGUUUAAUUGUCCUGAUCCCUGCCUAUCAUAAAUACUACUUGGUAUAUUUACAAUUAUUAUGCUGUAAAUCUAAUUUAGCUUCUUUGGUUAAUGUUGUGAUAUUGUUAAAAAAGCUUUAGCUUGACAUAUAUUAUAGCAAGGGAAAGUAGCGAGGGAUGGAACUCAGCAUUAGGAAAUGUGUCUAUUUUCCUUAGAUGCACGUGGUGAGGCGACAAAACCCUUGACCUUUCUUUUCGAAGUAAAUGAUCUUAUUCUACAGAUCCUCAAAGAACCAGGUGCAAAAGGUCAAGAGAAUAGGAACGAGCUCUUUCUUAUGGACAUGGAAUCGGACUAAUGCAACUCUAGGAAGGCUGGGCAUGCACUAUCUAAGGGUACAAACAUGAAGGAAGAUGAUGACAAGAACACUAGAUCUCACUCCCUGGGCAUCUAGAUUGUUACAGUUUGCUCUCCUUUUGUUGAGUUAUGUUCUUCUGUUUGUUAUGAGGGAACCCAGCACUCCAAACAUGUCGCUUUUGUUAUUUUUCGGAGUCUUCAUUGUUUAGAUGAUUCUGGAAAUAAGAAGAUUACUAGGUCUUUGCCUAAGUGGCAGUUCAUUUCACCCAGCCCUUUUUCUCGUCGUUAUUCUGGUUCCUUCAUAUCCUAGUCUGAGUAGCCCCCUUCCUUUUUCAGGCAUCACCAGAUUAUUGAUUGUACAGUUUUUCUUAUAGUUAUAUUUCCAGUUUUACCAAGGUUUUGUUUCAGCAGUAAAAUUUUAUUCAUGGGACAGAGGAACAAGCAUAAAGUCAAUAAAACUUCAUCAAAAAAAAAUAAAUUUGUUGUGAUUGUAAAUUUGUGUUCCAAUGA
Molecule: long non-coding RNA, 1377 nt
Organism: Beta vulgaris subsp. vulgaris (sugar beet)
Lineage: Eukaryota; Viridiplantae; Streptophyta; Magnoliopsida; Caryophyllales; Amaranthaceae
Exons: 2
Source: RefSeq, a predicted model, not a curated record